AGAUAGUGACAAUAAAUAACAAUAUAGGGCUCUUUUGGGUCUUAUAAUUGGAAUGAGUACAAUUUAAAUCCCUUAACGAGGAUCAAUUGGAGGGCAAGUCUGGUGCCAGCAGCCGCGGUAAUUCCAGCUCCAAUAGCGUAUAUUAAAGUUGUUGCCGUUAAAAAGCUCGUAGUCGAACUUCGGCUUCUGCCGCCCGGUCCGCCUUUUUGGGUGUGUACUGGAGCGGUGGAGGCUUACCUCGUGGUGAGCAAUCAUACCCUUCACUGGGCGUGGUUGGGAACCAUGAUUUUUACUUUGAAAAAAUUAGAGUGUUCAAAGCAGGCUUACGCCCGAAUACAUUAGCAUGGAAUAAUAAAAUAGGACGUGCGGUUCUAUUUUGUUGGUUUCUAGGAUCGCCGUAAUGAUUAAUAGGGAUAGUUGGGGGCAUUCGUAUUCAAUUGCUAGAGGUGAAAUUCUUGGAUUUAUUGAAGACGAACUACUGCGAAAGCAUUUGCCAAGGAUGUUUUCAUUGAUCAAGAACGAAGGUUAGGGGAUCGAAAACGAUCAGAUACCGUUGUAGUCUUAACAGUAAACGAUGCCGACUAGGGAUCGGACGAGGAUUUUUAAUGACUCGUUCGGCACCUGAAGAGAAAUCUUUAAGUCUAGGUUCGGGGGGGAGUAUGGUCGCAAGGCUGAAACUUAAAGGAAUUGACGGAAGGGCACCACCAGGUGUGGAGCCUGCGGCUUAAUUUGACUCAACACGGGGAAACUCACCAGGUCCAGACACGACAAGGAUUGACAGAUUGAUAGCUCUUUCUUGAUU
RNAcentral lists this ribosomal RNA (802 nucleotides) under uncultured Cyphobasidiales. Its description in RNAcentral is "SSU rRNA". It matches the Rfam family "Eukaryotic small subunit ribosomal RNA", at positions 462 to 1267 of the family's 1831-position model. Lineage: Eukaryota; Fungi; Basidiomycota; Cystobasidiomycetes; Cyphobasidiales. The record is from RNAcentral.